GGCGCCAUCGUCUAGUGGUUAGGACAUCAGGUUUUCAUCCUGAGAACUGGGGUUCGAUUCCCCAUGGCGCUGCCA
RNAcentral lists this transfer RNA (75 nucleotides) under Candidatus Peregrinibacteria bacterium. RNAcentral's name for it is "tRNA-Glu". It matches the Rfam family "tRNA". From Rfam's summary of the family: Transfer RNA (tRNA) molecules are approximately 80 nucleotides in length. Their secondary structure includes four short double-helical elements and three loops (D, anti-codon, and T loops). Lineage: Bacteria; Candidatus Peregrinibacteriota. The record is from RNAcentral.